This 573-nucleotide long non-coding RNA is filed under the name Sparus aurata (gilthead seabream). Its description in RNAcentral is "lncRNA (ENSSAUG00010015706.1)". Lineage: Eukaryota; Metazoa; Chordata; Actinopteri; Spariformes; Sparidae. The record is from RNAcentral.
CUGUUCCACGAGGACAACUCUUCAAACAAAGCCUGCAGGCGGGGGAGAUGGCAAUGAAAAUUAUUGAUCGCCUUGUGAGACAAAAUCGUGCCUUCAGGCAGCAGGCGGCAUGGUCCUCAAAGCGGAGUGAGAAGUGUGAGGCUGCAGUCCAGCAGUUGAAAACUGAAAAUGGGAAAUUGAAGGAGGAGUUGAUGGCAGCUCGAUGUGAGGUCACUGAUGUAGAAAUGCUACAGGUGGCAAUGGAGGUAGAGAAGGGAGGAGAAGGUGUGGUGGCAGGAGGAGGAGAAGAUGUGGCAGGAGUCUGAGGAGUUUGUGUUUGUUUUGUUAUUUGUCUUUGUUUAAUAAAUGUUGUUUACAUACGUGUUUGUUUCCUUUUGUAUACAACUUCUAUGGGGAUUAGGGUGUUAGGAAUUGUAAUAAGUGUUCACACACAAAACAAUGGUAAUAUUACCAUAUGGGGUAAAGAAAAAAAUAGUAUUCCAGAGGUGUUAGUUAGUGUUAGCCAUUAGUUAUUUGUGUGUUUCUGAAAUAAGGAAAUUAAUUUUUCUGAUGUUGUAAUGUUGCAUAUGAGAG